UGGGGAAUUUUGGACAAUGGGCGAAAGCCUGAUCCAGCAAUGCCGCGUGUGUGAAGAAGGCCUUCGGGUUGUAAAGCACUUUUGUCCGGAAAGAAAUCCUUGGCUCUAAUACAGUCGGGGGAUGACGGUACCGGAAGAAUAAGCACCGGCUAACUACGUGCCAGCAGCCGCGGUAAUACGUAGGGUGCAAGCGUUAAUCGGAAUUACUGGGCGUAAAGCGUGCGCAGGCGGUUUGCUAAGACCGAUGUGAAAUCCCCGGGCUCAACCUGGGAACUGCAUUGGUGACUGGCAGGCUAGAGUAUGGCAGAGGGGGGUAGAAUUCCACGUGUAGCAGUGAAUGCGUAGAGAUGUGGAGGAAUACCGAUGGCGAAGGCAGCCCCCUGGGCCAAUACUGACGCUCAUGCACGAAAGCGUGGGGAGCAAACAGGAUUAGAUACCCUGGUAGUCCACGCCCUAAACGAUGUCAACUAGUUGUUGGGGAUUCAUUUCCUUAGUAACGUAGCUAACGCGUGAAGUUGACCGCCUGGGGAGUACGGUCG
RNAcentral lists this ribosomal RNA (539 nucleotides) under uncultured bacterium. Its description in RNAcentral is "partial 16S ribosomal RNA". It matches the Rfam family "Bacterial small subunit ribosomal RNA", at positions 355 to 888 of the family's 1533-position model. The record is from RNAcentral.